Long non-coding RNA from Apodemus sylvaticus (European woodmouse), 1603 nucleotides. RefSeq lists it as uncharacterized. The record is from RefSeq and is a predicted model, not a curated record. The transcript has 4 exons. Lineage: Eukaryota; Metazoa; Chordata; Mammalia; Rodentia; Muridae.
GUAUAUAUAGCCCUAUCUGGCAUGGAGCUCACAGAAUUUCACCUGCCUCUGCCACAGUAGUGCUGGAUCAUUUGGUCUUGACCGUGUGAGGAUGUGGCUAUGUUGACCUCACUAAUUUACAUUCUAUCCCCCACAGACACUUGCUAUAGACUUUCAUCAAAGGAUGUCAAGUAAAGUGUGCUCCAGGAGACACAGCUAAGAAACUUUGGAGAUAGGACACAGCAUUGCAGCUGGCAAGGACUUGGGAAAUCAAAUCCAAGCUGUCCCCUCUCAGAGGAGAGUGACUGAGGGGACCCAGGCAGGCGGUCAGAGGCUGCGCGUGGCUCCAGGCGCUCCUGUCAUGACUACACUAACUCGUCCUUCCUCGAUGCCACGAUUCCGUCCAGCGUGGGUCACCUGACAUUUUGCUUACUUGUCUGUGAUUCCAUCUUCUACUGAAGACCAGCAGAGACUUCCAGCCUCAGGAACUGAGAACUUCCAGAUUCUUGGACUUUCCUUCCUAUACAGCUGUUGUGGAAUAAGGCAGACUGCAUCCUAUAUUGGACUACCUGAGAUACUGCCACAUAAUGAAUCAUGACAUGAGAAAAGCCACAGAGGUGAGAGUCAGAGGGAGCCACAAGUGUCCCCAGGAGAUGUGGUCAAUGACAAAGAUAGGGAGGAGCCAGACCAGCCUUCAUCCUAGCCUGCUCAGGAAGAAAGGCCUGGAACUUGAGAACUGAAACAGAACUUGGAAUGGGACUUACUCGUUACAUUGUGACCAGGUUCUGCUCCUGCAGAAGAAUGGUCCCUGCUGCCACAUACGCUUUACCAUUGGCCGACCUUAAAGCACAGUUCAGUCAACAACACUGCCUGGUCUGUUCCAAGGUGGGAAUAGAAUGCAUCGCAGAACUCAUGGCUCCGGCAUGAUCAGUCAGACGGCUCUCAGUCAAGUGCUGCUCUGCUGAGGCUGUGUUCCAAGGCCGUUGUCAACACCUCCAACACCACACACACGUGUUGAGAAGGCCUAGCAGAGCAGAGAGUGGCUGGAGACCAGUCCAAGCUGUCAUCAUGGUGUUUCAGACAUGGCUGUCACAGGGUAACUGAAAACUUACGGAUGAAAGUAGAAGUUGAAAAUGUUGCAUGAACCAGAGGAACAGGACAAUAUAUACCCAUUACCAAUUCCUUCAUGCCUUUUCAGUUUUCAAAUAAUACCUCUCCUACAUUCUUUGUGAUAAGAUGUGCAAACACACACACACACACACACACACACACACACACACACUUACUGAUAAAAAGACACACCGUUAUAUCCAGACUCAAACCUGUCGAAUUUCUUCAAUCUUUAAUUUGAAAUGACGCCCCUGCCCCACAUUUAUCCUCAAUUAUUGUUAACAAAAACAUAUACUUGUGGGUUGGAGAAAUUUUUAUGUGUGCAUAAAGCCUUCAUGUCUGUAUCUAAAUUGUAAUAUGAAUAGGAGAACAGUGGACUGACAAGUAUUAUUUAUGUUUUAACAUACAUUUUUUCAGUAUUUCUGCAUUACAUAAGGUCUAUUUACUUAAACAUUUAUUAGAUUGGUUUGUCAGUUUUAUUCUAAAUGAUUAUUUUUAACAUGCAUAUUCAUUG